RNAcentral lists this ribosomal RNA (492 nucleotides) under uncultured bacterium. RNAcentral's name for it is "partial 16S ribosomal RNA". It matches the Rfam family "Bacterial small subunit ribosomal RNA", at positions 29 to 507 of the family's 1533-position model. The record is from RNAcentral.
AGUGAACGCUGGCGGUAGGCCUAACACAUGCAAGUCGAACGGCAGCACAGUAAGAGCUUGCUCUUACGGGUGGCGAGUGGCGGACGGGUGAGGAAUACAUCGGAAUCUACUUUUUCGUGGGGGAUAACGUAGGGAAACUUACGCUAAUACCGCAUACGACCUACGGGUGAAAGCAGGGGAUCUUCGGACCUUGCGCGAUUGAAUGAGCCGAUGUCGGAUUAGCUAGUUGGCGGGGUAAGGGCCCACCAAGGCGACGAUCCGUAGCUGGUCUGAGAGGAUGAUCAGCCACACUGGAACUGAGACACGGUCCAGACUCCUACGGGAGGCAGCAGUGGGGAAUAUUGGACAAUGGGCGCAAGCCUGAUCCAGCCAUACCGCGUGGGUGAAGAAGGCCUUCGGGUUGUAAAGCCCUUUUGCUGGGAAGGAAAAGCAGCAGGUUAAUACCCCGCUGUUCUGACGGUACCCAAAGAAUAAGCACCGGCUAACUUCGUG